CUACGGAGGGGGUUAGCGUUAAUCGGAAUUACUGGGCGUAAAGCGAGCGUAGGUGGCUUGAUAAGUCAGAUGUGAAAGCCCCGGGCUUAACCUGGGAACGGCAUCUGAUACUGUUAGGCUCGAGUAGGUGAGAGGAAGGUAGAAUUCCAGGUGUAGCGGUGAAAUGCGUAGAGAUCUGGAGGAAUACCGAUGGCGAAGGCAGCCUUCUGGCAUCAUACUGACACUGAGGUUCGAAAGCGUGGGUAGCAAACAGGAUUAGAUACCCGAGUAGUCC
RNAcentral lists this ribosomal RNA (274 nucleotides) under uncultured bacterium. RNAcentral's name for it is "partial 16S ribosomal RNA". It matches the Rfam family "Bacterial small subunit ribosomal RNA", at positions 523 to 796 of the family's 1533-position model. The record is from RNAcentral.